AGUGAACGCUGGCGGCAGGCCUAAUACAUGCAAGUCGAACGGCAGCACGGCAGAGCUUGCUCUGUGGGUGGCGAGUGGCGGACGGGUGAGGAAUACAUGGGAAUCUGCCCAGUCGUGGGGGAUAACGUAGGGAAACUUACGCUAAUACCGCAUGCGCCCUUCGGGGGAAAGCCGGGGACCUUCGGGCCUGGCGCGAUUGGAUGAGCCCAUGUCGGAUUAGCUAGUUGGCGGGGUAAAGGCCCACCAAGGCGACGAUCCGUAGCUGGUCUGAGAGGAUGAUCAGCCACACUGGAACUGAGACACGGUCCAGACUCCUACGGGAGCAGCAGUAGGGAAUAUUGGACAAUGGGCCAAGCCUGAUCCAGCCAUGCCGCGUGAGUGAAGAAGGCCCUCGGGUUGUAAAGCUCUUUUGUCCGGAAAGAAAAGCGCCGGGUUAAUACCCUGGUGUCCUGACGGUACCGGAAGAAUAAGCACCGGCUAACUUCGUGCCAGCAGCCGAC
RNAcentral lists this ribosomal RNA (500 nucleotides) under uncultured bacterium. Its description in RNAcentral is "bacterial SSU rRNA". It matches the Rfam family "Bacterial small subunit ribosomal RNA", at positions 29 to 518 of the family's 1533-position model. The record is from RNAcentral.